UUGGAGGGCAAGUCUGGUGCCAGCAGCCGCGGUAAUUCCAGCUCCAAUAGCGUAUAUUAAAGUUGUUGCAGUUAAAAAGCUCGUAGUUGAAUUUCGGGGUUAGUAGGUUGGUCGUGCCUCAGGUAUGUACUGAUCUCACUGAUUCCUCCUUCCUGAUGAACCGUAAUGCCAUUAAUUUGGUGUUGCGAGGAAACUGGACUGUUACUUUGAAAAAAUUAGAGUGUUUAAAGCAGGCUAACGCUUGAAUACAUUAGCAUGGAAUAAUGAAAUAGGACGUUCGAUCCUAUUUUGUUGGUUUCUAGGAUUGACGUAAUGAUUAAUAGGGAUAGUUGGGGGCAUUAGUAUUCAAUUGUCAGAGGUGAAAUUCUUGGAUUUAUUGAAGACUAACUACUGCGAAAGCAUUUGCCAAGGAUGUUUUCAUUAAUCAAGAACGAAAGUUAGGGGAUCGAAGACGAUCAGAUACCGUCGUAGUCUUAACCAUAAACUAUGCCGACUAGGGAUCGGAUGAUGUUAAUUUUUUAAUGACUCAUUCGGCGCCUUACGGGAAA
Molecule: ribosomal RNA, 548 nt
Filed under: uncultured Glomeromycotina
Lineage: Eukaryota; Fungi; Glomeromycota
Description: SSU rRNA
Rfam family: Eukaryotic small subunit ribosomal RNA
Source: RNAcentral